This 253-nucleotide ribosomal RNA is filed under the name uncultured bacterium. RNAcentral's name for it is "partial 16S ribosomal RNA". It matches the Rfam family "Bacterial small subunit ribosomal RNA", at positions 524 to 776 of the family's 1533-position model. The record is from RNAcentral.
UACGUAGGGUGCGAGCGUUAAUCGGAAUUACUGGGCGUAAAGCGUGCGCAGGCGGUUGUGCAAGACAGAUGUGAAAUCCCCGGGCUUAACCUGGGAAUUGCAUUUGUGACUGCACGGCUAGAGUGUGUCAGAGGGGGGUAGAAUUCCACGUGUAGCAGUGAAAUGCGUAGAUAUGUGGAGGAACACCGAUGGCGAAGGCAGCCUCCUGGGCCAGCACUGACGCUCAUGCACGAAAGCGUGGGGAGCAAACAGG